AUACGUAGGUGACAAGCGUUAUCCGGAUUUACUGGGCGUAAAGGGCGUGUAGGCGGUCUUGCAAGUCAGAAGUGAAAUUCCUGAGCUCAACUCGGGCGCUGCUUCUGAAACUGCAGGACUUGAGUGCUGGAGGGGAUAGCGGAAUUCCUAGUGUAGCGGUGAAAUGCGUAGAUAUUAGGAGGAACACCAGUGGCGAAGGCGGAUUGCUGGACAGCAACUGACGGUGAGGCGCGAAAGUGUGGGGAGCAAACAGGAUUAGAUACCCUGGUAGUCCACACUGUAAACGAUGAAUACUAGGUGUGCGGGGACUGACCCCCUGCGUGCCGGCGUUAACACAAUAAGUAUUCCACCUGGGGAGUACGAUCGCAAGGUUGAAACUCAAAGGAAUUGACGGGG
RNAcentral lists this ribosomal RNA (396 nucleotides) under uncultured bacterium. Its description in RNAcentral is "partial 16S ribosomal RNA". It matches the Rfam family "Bacterial small subunit ribosomal RNA", at positions 523 to 918 of the family's 1533-position model. The record is from RNAcentral.